GAUGAAGAACGUAGCGAAAUGCGAUACGUAAUGUGAAUUGCAGAAUUCAGUGAAUCAUCGAGUCUUUGAACGCACAUUGCGCCCCCUGGUAUUCCGGGGGGCAUGCCUGUCCGAGCGUCAUUGCUGCCCUCAAGCACGGCUUGUGUGUUGGGCCUCCGUCCUCCUCCCGGGGGACGGGCCCGAAAGGCAGCGGCGGCACCGCGUCCGGUCCUCGAGCGUCUGGGGCUUCGUCACCCGCUCUUGUAGGCCCGGCCGGCGCUUGCCGACACAUCAAUCUUUUUUCCAGGUUGACCUCGGAUCAGGUAGGGAUACCCGCUGAACUUAAGCAUAUCAAUAAGCGGAGGA
RNAcentral lists this unclassified non-coding RNA (345 nucleotides) under soil metagenome. RNAcentral describes it as "partial contains 5.8S ribosomal RNA, internal transcribed spacer 2, and large subunit ribosomal RNA". The stretch from base 1 to 120 matches the Rfam family "5.8S ribosomal RNA", at positions 35 to 154 of the family's 154-position model. The record is from RNAcentral.